Molecule: ribosomal RNA, 459 nt
Filed under: uncultured bacterium
Lineage: Bacteria
Description: partial 16S ribosomal RNA
Rfam family: Bacterial small subunit ribosomal RNA
Source: RNAcentral
CCUACGGGUGGCAGCAGUGAGGAAUAUUGGUCAAUGGCCGGAAGGCUGAACCAGCCAAGCCGCGUGAAGGACGAAGGUGCCAAGCAUUGUAAACUUCUUUUGUCAAGGGACAAAAUCAGGCUCGAGAGCCUGACCGAGGGUACUUGAAGAAAAAGCAUCGGCUAACUCCGUGCCAGCAGCCGCGGUAAUACGGAGGAUGCGAGCGUUAUCCGGAUUUAUUGGGUUUAAAGGGUGCGUAGGCGGGCUGUUAAGUCAGCGGUAAAAGCCCGGGGCUCAACCCCGGCGAGCCGUUGAAACUGGCUGUCUUGAGAUGUCGAGAGGUAUGCGGAAUGCGCAGUGUAGCGGUGAAAUGCUUAGAUAUUGCGCAGAACUCCGAUUGCGAAGGCGACUAUCUGGCACAUAACUGACGCUGAGGAGCGAAAGCGUGGGUAGCAAACAGGAUUAGAUACCCCAGUAGUC